UAGGACCUACGGGGCGCAGCAGUGGGGGAUAUUGCACAAUGGGGGGAACCCUGAUGCAGCGACGCCGCGUGGGUGAAGAAGCGCCUCGGCGCGUAAAGCCCUGUCAGCAGGGAAGAAAAUGACGGUACCUGAAGAAGAAGCCCCGGCUAACUACGUGCCAGCAGCCGCGGUAAUACGUAGGGGGCAAGCGUUAUCCGGAUUUACUGGGUGUAAAGGGGGCGCAGACGGCGAUGCAAGCCAGGAGUGCAAGCCCGGGGCCCAACCCCGGGACUGCUCUUGGAACUGCGGGGCUGGCGUGCGGGAGG
RNAcentral lists this ribosomal RNA (305 nucleotides) under uncultured bacterium. RNAcentral describes it as "bacterial SSU rRNA". It matches the Rfam family "Bacterial small subunit ribosomal RNA", at positions 333 to 655 of the family's 1533-position model. The record is from RNAcentral.